GUGAGGAAUUUUCCGCAAUGGGCGAAAGCCUGACGGAGCAAUGCCGCGUGAAGGAUGAAAGCCUAUGGGUUGUAAACUUCUUUUCUCAGAAAAGAAUUAUGACGGUAUCUGAGGAAUAAGCAUCGGCUAACUCUGUGCCAGCAGCCGCGGUAAGACAGAGGAUGCAAGCGUUAUCCGGAAUGAUUGGGCGUAAAGCGUCUGUAGGUUGUUUAAAAAGUAUUCUGUCAAAGAUUAGGGCUUAACCCUAGAUAGGCAGAAUAAACUUUUAAGCUAGAGUUUGGUAGAGGCAGAGGGAAUUCCCGGUGGAGCGGUGAAAUGCGUAGAUAUCGGGAGGAACACCAAAGGCGAAGGCACUCUGCUGGGCCAAUACUAACACUGAGAGACGAAAGCGAGGGGAGCAAAUGGGAUUAGAUACCCGAGUAGUCC
Molecule: ribosomal RNA, 426 nt
Filed under: uncultured bacterium
Lineage: Bacteria
Description: partial 16S ribosomal RNA
Rfam family: Bacterial small subunit ribosomal RNA
Source: RNAcentral